Molecule: long non-coding RNA, 200 nt
Filed under: Physcomitrium patens
Lineage: Eukaryota; Viridiplantae; Streptophyta; Bryopsida; Funariales; Funariaceae
Description: long non-coding RNA (PPAT_LNC006962)
Source: RNAcentral
AUCCUAAAGAAAUAUUAUAAUAAUCUCAAAUAUAUCUUAAAUAAAUCUCAAUUAAGUCCUAAUUUAAUCCUAAUUGAAAUUCGAAUUGACUUCAAUCAAAUCUUAAAUCAAAUCUUGAAUCCUAAAUAAGUUCUAAAUCUUGAAAAAAUCCUAAAUCCUAAAUCCUAAAUCCUAAGCAAAUCUUAAAUCCUAAAUCCUAA